AUUGAACGCUGGCGGAAUGCUUUACACAUGCAAGUCGAACGGCAGCACGGACUUCGGUCUGGUGGCGAGUGGCGAACGGGUGAGCAAUGUAUCGGAACGUGCCCAGUCGUGGGGGAUAACGUAGUGAAAAUUACGCUAAUACCGCAUACGAUCUAUGGAUGAAAGCGGGGGAUCGCAAGACCUCGCGCGAUUGGAGCGGCCGAUAUCAGAUUAGGUAGUUGGUGGGGUAAAGGCCCACCAAGCUAACGAUCUGUAGCUGGUCUGAGAGGACGACCAGCCACACUGUAACUGAGACACGGUCCAGACUCCUACGGGAGGCAGCAGUGGGGAAUUUUGGACAAUGGGCGAAAGCCUGAUCCAGCCAUGCCGCGUGCAGGAUGAAGGCCCUCGGGUUGUAAACUGCUUUUGUACAGAACGAAAAGGUUUCUACUAAUACUAGGAGCUCAUGACGGUACUGUAAGAAUAAGCACCGGCUAACUACGUGCCAGCCGCCGCAGUAA
This 500-nucleotide ribosomal RNA is filed under the name uncultured bacterium. Its description in RNAcentral is "partial 16S ribosomal RNA". It matches the Rfam family "Bacterial small subunit ribosomal RNA", at positions 30 to 523 of the family's 1533-position model. The record is from RNAcentral.